UUCAAAUCCUAUUUAAAGCCAAGCCUCUGACCUACCAAAAUCACUCUGGCUGCAAUGUUCCUUGGUUUUGUUCUGGCCUGCUGCAGCUGCUGGUGUGAUGCACUUCCUUACCGUGACGACAGCUCUCCCUGUUCAUGAAAGGAUCUAGCAAGCCAUCUAACUCAGCCUCUGGGAGACCCACACACAGUAUCAAGCAGUAAUCAAGUCACGAUUCUGGGGACAGUUCGGAAAGAUCCUUCUAGAUGUAUAUGCAGUCUGCCUGGGAUUUUUUCACCAUCCAGCGCUCUCUCUCUCUCUCAUUCAAUCCUGCAAAAGUAAUGGGAACCCGCAGCCUAAUGGAAUAUGGAGGACUAAAUGUGGGUGAACAAACAAACUUUCACCAGCUGAGAUGGGACUACUGAUGAUUGGUGGAUGUGCUGAUUCUGGGGAAAUUCUGAUACUGUCACCCACCCUACGUAAACAUAGUACCUGUUUGCCAGGCUGCAAGCAGGGAAGAGGAACAGGCAGGGAGUCAAACAGAGAAAUGGCUAA
Long non-coding RNA from Hemicordylus capensis (graceful crag lizard), 531 nucleotides. RefSeq lists it as uncharacterized. The record is from RefSeq and is a predicted model, not a curated record. NCBI's taxonomy places the organism in Eukaryota, Metazoa, Chordata, Lepidosauria, Squamata, Cordylidae. The transcript has 4 exons.